AAGCAGACCUGAUCGGCAGUACCAAGGAAUUUGUUAAUCUGUUCAUAGGGGAGGGAGGAAGUGGAAAACCCAGAAGGCAGAAAGCCAAUGUGAUCAAGAUCAUCUACAGUGAUCGCUACCUGGUUUUUGCUAGAUUGGAUCUUGGAGAUUCUAUCCAGAACCCAAAGAGCAACUUUUGAUGCACAAAAAGGGCGCAGCAUUAUGGAUAAAUUUGAGAUGUGCAAGCAAGACCCAACUUUCUCGCUAAUCAAAGGAUUUAAAAUGCC
Molecule: long non-coding RNA, 266 nt
Organism: Hemicordylus capensis (graceful crag lizard)
Lineage: Eukaryota; Metazoa; Chordata; Lepidosauria; Squamata; Cordylidae
Exons: 3
Source: RefSeq, a predicted model, not a curated record